Molecule: ribosomal RNA, 393 nt
Filed under: uncultured bacterium
Lineage: Bacteria
Description: partial 16S ribosomal RNA
Rfam family: Bacterial small subunit ribosomal RNA
Source: RNAcentral
AUACGGAGGAUCCGAGCGUUAUCCGGAUUUACUGGGCGUAAAGGGCGUGUAGGCGGUCUUGCAAGUCAGAAGUGAAAUUCCUGAGCUCAACUCGGGCGCUGCUUCUGAAACUGCAGGACUUGAGUGCUGGAGGGGAUAGCGGAAUUCCUAGUGGAGCGGUAAAAUGCGCAGAUAUUAGGAAGAACACCGAUGGCGAAGGCAGCCUGCUGGGGACUUAUCGACGCUGAGGCUCGAAAGUGCGGGUAGCAAACAGGAUUAGAUACCCUGGUAGUCCGCACCGUAAACGAUGCAUACUGGGUGUCCGGGGGUUCCCCCGGGUACCGUAGCCAACGCGUUAAGUAUGCCGCCUGGGGAGUACGUACGCAAGUAUGAAACUCAAAUGAAUUGACGGGG